Molecule: ribosomal RNA, 222 nt
Filed under: Bacillus cereus
Lineage: Bacteria; Bacillati; Bacillota; Bacilli; Caryophanales; Bacillaceae
Description: partial 16S ribosomal RNA
Rfam family: Bacterial small subunit ribosomal RNA
Source: RNAcentral
UUUAUUGGAGAGUUUGAUCCUGGCUCAGGAUGAACGCUGGCGGCGUGCCUAAUACAUGCAAGUCGAGCGAAUGGAUUGAGAGCUUGCUCUCAAGAAGUUAGCGGCGGACGGGUGAGUAACACGUGGGUAACCUGCCCAUAAGACUGGGAUAACUCCGGGAAACCGGGGCUAAUACCGGAUAAUAUUUUGAACUGCAUGGUUCGAAAUUGAAAGGCGGCUUCG